AGCACCACAACGGGUGGAGCUUGCGGUUUAAUUGGAUUCAACGCCGGAAAUCUUACCGGGACCGACAGCGAUAUGAAGGCCAGGCUGAAGACUUUGCCGGAUUAGCUGAGAGGUGGUGCAUGGCCGUCGUCAGUUCGUACUGUGAAGCAUCCUGUUAAGUCAGGCAACGAGCGAGACCCACGCCCACAGUUGCCAGCGUACUCUCUGGAGUGACGGGUACACUGUGGGGACCGCCGCUGCUAAAGCGGAGGAAGGAAUGGGCAACGGUAGGUCAGUAUGCCCCGAAUAUCCCGGGCUACACGCGAGCUACAAUGGUUGGUACAAUGGGUAUCUACCCCGAAAGGGGACGGGAAUCUCCUAAAACCAAUCUUAGUUCGGAUUGAGGGCCGCAACUCGCCCUCAUGAAGCUGGAAUCCGUAGUAAUCGCGUUUCAACAGAACGCGGUGAAUACGUCCCUGCUCCUU
Molecule: ribosomal RNA, 464 nt
Filed under: uncultured Methanosaeta sp.
Lineage: Archaea; Methanobacteriati; Methanobacteriota; Methanomicrobia; Methanotrichales; Methanotrichaceae
Description: bacterial SSU rRNA
Rfam family: Archaeal small subunit ribosomal RNA
Source: RNAcentral